Molecule: small nucleolar RNA, 132 nt
Organism: Mastomys coucha (southern multimammate mouse)
Lineage: Eukaryota; Metazoa; Chordata; Mammalia; Rodentia; Muridae
Source: RefSeq, a predicted model, not a curated record
UUGGCCCUGAAUCAAGGCCAGCAGAUUACUGAAGCUGUUGGUUUCAAGCAGGAACCUAAAGAAAUGUCCUUCUAUGGUCUGUUGGCCGUUUCAGAAAUUUGUACAUCUAAUGGUCAUUAGAAAGAAACAUCU